UACGGGAGGCAGCAGUGGGGAAUAUUGCACAAUGGGCGCAAGCCUGAUGCAAACAUGCCGCGUGUAUGAAGAAGGCCUUCGGGUUGUAUAGUACUUUCAGCGAGGAGGAAGGCGAUAAGGUUAAUAACCUUGUCGAUUGACGAUACUCGCAGAAGAAGCACCGGCUAACUCCGUGCCAGCAGCCGCGGUAAUAAUC
Molecule: ribosomal RNA, 196 nt
Filed under: uncultured bacterium
Lineage: Bacteria
Description: partial 16S ribosomal RNA
Rfam family: Bacterial small subunit ribosomal RNA
Source: RNAcentral